This is a long non-coding RNA of Octopus sinensis (East Asian common octopus), 2031 nucleotides long. RefSeq lists it as uncharacterized. The record is from RefSeq and is a predicted model, not a curated record. The transcript has 2 exons. NCBI's taxonomy places the organism in Eukaryota, Metazoa, Mollusca, Cephalopoda, Octopoda, Octopodidae.
AUACAUGCAGACCUAAAUACAUAUAUACACACACUAUAUAUAUAUGUAUAUAUAUACAAUUAUUUUUUUUAAUGCAAAAUACCUUUGCCUGUUUUAAUUGCACUAAUUAUAUUAAUAUUGUUAAUUAGCCAUUUAUGAUGAAACCAUGUAAUUAAUAUUAAUAAUAAUAAUAUGUUCUUAAAUAGAAUCUUCUUUCACUCCGGACAUACUAACUUCUGUAUUACUAUUGUUUAUAUCUGGAAACCUAUGUAAAAAUAUUGAAGAGAGAGGAUUAUAGCUUCUGCUCAUACUUGCAUGCUGUGAACGAUUCCAGUUCUUUUUUUUUUCUUUUUUCCUUUUUUCUUGUUCUUCAGUUCCAGCUCUGAUUGAACCUGUGAUCUAGCAUUCUACCAGGGUCCACAGUGUCCAACGUGUCUUUCUUUUCUAAGACAGCAGGAUGUGAUCUGAGGGAGAUAUGGCUGCUAAUUCUAGCUAUGUGGAGUGACCACAUAGAAGCCGCCCCAUCGGCUUCCUACCUCCCCACCAUAAUGUUUUUCUCUCCUUGUUUUGCCAUUUGAGUAACCUAGGCAAAUUCGAACCAUUUCGGUCGGAAGUCAACAUCCAGAACUCUUCCUGUCUUUAUAUCUUCAUCAAAGUUUUCAAGAUUUUUUUCUUAGUUCCUCAAAUAUAUUCAAGAGAUUUUGUAUUCUUCAACUUUUCAAGUGGUUCCUUUUGUAAUCAUUUUUUAAUAUUUUUCUUCAUAUAAAUGACUAAGAUAGAAUUUUAGUAGUCGUAGUACAAGUAGUGGUAGUAGUGUAACUAGUGGUAGUAGUGGUGGUGGUGGUAGUGGCUCGUUAGUAAUAGUAGUGAUGGAGGUAGGGUGGGGGAUGUUUGGAAGUUUACCAAUUGUGAAUUUAAAUCAUGAACAAAGUGGUUUAGCUAUCCAGAACUUUUGACCGAAAUCUUGCAAGACAAAAAGAGACAGCUCUUGGAUUCCAGGGGUUGGUAGCUAGGUGGUUGGGUGGCAAUGGGGUUGGUUUAUUUCAGGUUUCAAAGAGUUCUGUGAGGAUUUCAUUUCUUUCGUUCUUUCUUUUUUGAGGUAGAGGCUCUUCAGAUAUUCAAGGUCCCAUGGUCCCCUCCAUGCCCUACACUGGUGAUAGAGCCACUGAUACAUGUUAUCAUAUAGGCCUUGCCAAUAUUACAGAUUGCAGUUAGACAGUGAUUGGUGGUGGUUGCACUGAAGAUUUAAAAAAACACAUUCCCCCCCACCUAGUUUUGGGUCCUUCUACACUGCUCAGUUCCUUGGAUGGCUUUAGUUUCUUGGCACGUAGUUUUGCACAAUAAUGGUCAUUGUAUGCCAUUCUUGGAAUCUCACCAUGAAGCUUUCUUUAUUCAUUGGUUUCUAGUCAAUUAGCUCUCUGGUGCUUCUUCGGUAAGCACCAUGCCCACAACAUAGAUGUGUUAGUCUUUAUGACUGGAGUGGACGAAGGUCCUACCACCAUCAUCACUGUCAAUCUUUCUGCUCUUUGUCCAACUCACUUCACUUAAGCCUAAGAUGUCCAGCUAGUAUCUAUCAAACUCUCUCAACAAUUGGGUUAGUCUUCCAGUUUAGUACAGUUUUUGUACAUUCUAAGUUCCAGUCUUAGCUGUGGCUUUGGUCCUCAGAAUCAGGUUCUUUGAUUAAAACAGAGGUCACAUGAUUUACCAUAUUUAAUAAGAUUAGGCUGGUUUCCAGCUUGUUAAAUUUGUCCUUUGCUAUGGUGAAGUAUUCUGUGGUCACAGACUCUGAAGAUAUCUUCUUUCCACCUAUCUUCUGUCAGAUUUUGGAGGCCCUGUUAAGGGCCACAGACUUGCCCUUUCCCAUUCAAAUAAAACCAUUAAAAAAAUAACAAUAAAAUUUUUUUUAAAUAACAAAUUUCAGAAGUUUAACUUUUUUAAUUAAAUUUCUGGUUUUCUAACUUUUAAUUUUUUUUUUUUGUUAAAUAAAAAAUAUUCUCAAUAUCUCCCCCAGAAAAAACUCCCACCCCAAAAGAUUACCCCCUACCAAAACAA